RNAcentral lists this transfer RNA (70 nucleotides) under Capra hircus (goat). It matches the Rfam family "tRNA". Rfam says of the family: Transfer RNA (tRNA) molecules are approximately 80 nucleotides in length. Lineage: Eukaryota; Metazoa; Chordata; Mammalia; Artiodactyla; Bovidae. RNAcentral also lists the same sequence under 1 other name. The record is from Rfam by way of RNAcentral.
CCCUGUGUCUCAGAGGGCAAAGAACCUGCCUGCAAUGCAGGAGACCCAGAUUCAAUUCCUGGGUCAGGAA